UUUCAAGAUUAAUGCCACUCUUGCUAUGGAGCUCCCCUCAAAAUGCAAUCUUAAUUCUCCAAAUUGUGCUUAAUUAAUUAAUGAUCGUAUUGACUACCCCUUUCACUUAAUGUUAUUGUUCUGGUUCAAUAUCUAUUGGCCUUUUUGUUUCUUUUUGUUCUUGGAAGUGUAAACGUUCCUAGUGUCACCUUUCUGUCUUUCGUUUUAGUCUUUUCCUUUUUCCUUUCUUUUGUAACUUGGAGUGGCGGGGUUAAGAUCAAUUCCAUGUUAUGACAAGAAUUUGUGUUGAUCAACUUUGUAUGCUUGGUCGCUCAAGAGUUAUGUUAAUAAAGUUUGAUGUUUUGUUUGUUGUUUUAUAUCACAGACAUUUGAUUUGGUUUAA
This 382-nucleotide long non-coding RNA is filed under the name Nicotiana benthamiana. Its description in RNAcentral is "long non-coding RNA (NBEN_LNC013195)". The record is from RNAcentral. Lineage: Eukaryota; Viridiplantae; Streptophyta; Magnoliopsida; Solanales; Solanaceae.